AUAUAGAGAAGAAUGGAGACAGGGGAGAUGAAGAGAUCCUCAAUAAAAAUAUUAAUACAAACAAAGCUUGCCACCCUACGCGUUUCAUCUUAUUGACUUCAUCAGGGACUUGUAGCAACAAUAUAGGUAUAUUGUUGCUACAAGCCCCUGAUGAAGUCAAUAAUAUAGGUAUAUUGUUGCUACAAGCCCCUGAUGAAGUCAAUAAUAUAGGUAUAUUGUUGCUACAAGCCCCUGAUGAAGUCAAUAAGACGAAACGCGUAGGGUGGCAAGCUUUGUUUGUAUUAAUAUUUUUAUUGAGGAUCUCUUCAUCUCCCCUGUCUCCAUUCUUCUCUAUAUCC
This is a non-coding RNA of Pelobates cultripes (western spadefoot toad), 338 nucleotides long. Lineage: Eukaryota; Metazoa; Chordata; Amphibia; Anura; Pelobatidae. The record is from the annotation of a GenBank genome assembly.